AUUUCUAAAUCGCUGAAGUGAAAUACACGGGGGACCCGUUUAUAUGGAUUGCAAUGUAAUCCUAGGGGUGAAUCCUUUAAAGAAGGUAGGGCUACUCAAGGCCCGAAUCCGACAGCUAACCUCGUAAGCGUUAUAUGAGAAGGAAG
Molecule: small RNA, 146 nt
Filed under: Viridibacillus arenosi
Lineage: Bacteria; Bacillati; Bacillota; Bacilli; Caryophanales; Caryophanaceae
Also listed under: 1 other name
Description: c-di-AMP sequence
Rfam family: c-di-AMP riboswitch aptamer (ydaO/yuaA leader)
About the family: This family represents a conserved RNA structure found upstream of the ydaO and yuaA genes in Bacillus subtilis and related genes in other bacteria. The ydaO/yuaA element is thought to act as a genetic "off" switch for the ydaO and yuaA genes in its native state.
Source: RNAcentral